This 1926-nucleotide ribosomal RNA is filed under the name human gut metagenome. RNAcentral describes it as "bacterial LSU rRNA". It matches the Rfam family "Bacterial large subunit ribosomal RNA", at positions 3 to 1973 of the family's 2925-position model. The record is from RNAcentral.
UCAAGCGACUAAGUGCAUGUGGUGGAUGCCUUGGCGAUCACAGGCGAAGAAAGACGUGGCAGCCUGCGAAAAGCUGCGGGGAGCUGGCAAACGAGCAUAGAUCCGCAGAUAUCUGAAUGGGGGAACCCAGCCCGAUAAGGGUUAUCGCAUGAUGAAUCCAUAGUCAUGCGAGGCGAACGAGGAGAACUGAAACAUCUAAGUAUCCUCAGGAAAAGAAAUCAACCGAGAUUCCGGCAGUAGCGGCGAGCGAACCCGGAGGAGCCUAGUUUUUGAUAGUUUGGAUGAUAGAAGAAUGAGAUGGAAAGCUCAGCCAAAGAAGGUGAUAGCCCUGUAUUUAAAAUUGUCCGAAUGGUACUAAGGAAACGAGAAGUAAGGCGGGACACGAGGAAUCCUGUCUGAAGAAGGGGGGACCAUCCUCCAAGGCUAAAUACUAGUGAUCGACCGAUAGUGAACCAGUACCGUGAGGGAAAGGUGAAAAGAACCCCGGGAGGGGAGUGAAAUAGAACCUGAAACCGCGUGCAUACAAACAGUAGGAGCCUUUUUUGAGGUGACUGCGUACCUUUUGCAUAAUGGGUCAGCGACUUACAUUCUGUGGCGAGGUUAACCGAAUAGGGAAGCCGAAGCGAAAGCGAGUUCGAAUAGAGCGAAAAGUCGCAGGGUGUAGACCCGAAACCAGAUGAGCUAUCCAUGGCCAGGUUGAAGGUGUGGUAACACACACUGGAGGACCGAACCGACUAGUGUUGCAAAAUUAGCGGAUGAGCUGUGGAUAGGGGUGAAAGGCCAAACAAAUCUGGAGAUAGCUGGUUCUCCCCGAAAACUAUUGAGGUAGUGCCUCGUGUUGAGGCUCCAGGGGGUAGAGCACUGUUUUGGCUAGGGGGACAUGUAGUCUUACCAAACCAAGGCAAACUCCGAAUACCUGGAAGCUAUACACGGGAGACAGAGCACCGGGUGCUAACGUCCGGACUCAAAAGGGAAACAACCCAGACCGCCGGCUAAGGUCCCCAAUAGCAGCUAAGUGGAAAACGAAGUGGAAAGGCCGUGACAACCAGGAAGUUGGCUUAGAAGCAGCCAUCCUUCAAAGAAAGCGUAAUAGCUCACUGGUCGAGUCUUUCUGCGCGGAAGAUGUAACGGGGCUAAGCUGCUAACCGAAGCCGCGGAUGCAUGGAAAAAUCCAUGCGUGGUAGGGGAGCGUUCUGUAAGUCUGAGAAGGCGGAUUGAGAAGUCUGCUGGAGAUAUCAGAAGUGCGAAUGCUGACAUGAGUAACGUUAAAGAGGGUGAAAAGCCCUCUCGCCGCAAGCCCAAGGUUUCCUGCUCUACGUUCAUCGGAGCAGGGUGAGUCGGCCCCUAAGGUCAGGCCGAAAGGCGUAGCCGAUGGGAACCGGGUUAAUAUUCCCGGACCGCUGUCAGAUGCGAAGGGGUGACGGAGAGGCUAAGGUCAUCCGAGUGUUGGACUACUCGGUACUUAGACGAGGACGGUUGGCAGGCAAAUCCGCCAACGGAUCGUCCGGAUCGGAAGUGGUGCUCCCACGGGAGCGAAGUGAUUGGAAACUCUUCCAGGAAAAACCUCUAAGCUACAGUCUGACAGGACCGUACCGCAAACCGACACUGGUGGGCGAGCUGAAUAUGCUCAGGCGCUUGAGAGAACUCGGGAGAAGGAACUCGGCAAAUUGACACCGUAACUUCGGAAGAAGGUGUGCCGCAGUAGCGUGAGAGGAGAGACACCUUGAGCGUGAGACGGUCUCAGAGAAUAGGUGGCUGCGACUGUUUAUUAAAAACACAGCACUCUGCAAAGUCGAAAGACGACGUAUAGGGUGUGAUGCCUGCCCGGUGCUGGAAGAUUAAUUGAUGGGCUGAGAGGCCUUGAUCGAAGUCCCAGUAAACGGCGGCCGUAACUAUAACGGUCCUAAGGUAGCGAAAUUCCUUGUC